Molecule: non-coding RNA, 30 nt
Filed under: Homo sapiens (human)
Lineage: Eukaryota; Metazoa; Chordata; Mammalia; Primates; Hominidae
Source: RNAcentral
UUUUCAGGUGUGAGGAAUGCAUAAAGGCUU